GAGCAUAGCUCAGCUGGGAGAGCAUCUGCCUUACAAGCAGAGGGUCAUAGGUUCGAGUCCUAUUGUUCCC
RNAcentral lists this transfer RNA (70 nucleotides) under uncultured Ruminococcus sp. It matches the Rfam family "tRNA". Rfam says of the family: Transfer RNA (tRNA) molecules are approximately 80 nucleotides in length. RNAcentral also lists the same sequence under 4 other names. Lineage: Bacteria; Bacillati; Bacillota; Clostridia; Eubacteriales; Oscillospiraceae. The record is from RNAcentral.